Molecule: ribosomal RNA, 467 nt
Filed under: uncultured bacterium
Lineage: Bacteria
Description: partial 16S ribosomal RNA
Rfam family: Bacterial small subunit ribosomal RNA
Source: RNAcentral
GACGAACGCUGGCGGCGUGCCUAACACAUGCAAGUCGAACGGAAAGUCCCUGCUCUUGUGGGGUGUUCUAGUUGCAAACGUGUGAGUAACACGUUAGUACCCUUCCCUUGACUUUGGGAUAACUUCAGGACACCGGGCCUAAUACCGGAUAGGAGCCUCUGCUCCAUGGUGCGGGUUGGAAAGUUUCGGCGAUUGGGAAUGGACCCGCGGCUUAUCAGUUUGUUGGUGGGGUACUGGCUUACCAAGGCUUUGACGGGUAGCCGGCCUGAGCGGGUGACCGGCCACGUUGGGACUGGGAUGCGGCUCUGACUCCUACGGGACGCAGCAGUGGGGAAUCUUGCUAGGCGUCUGAAGCCUGCUGCAGCAACGCCGCGUGCGGGAUGACGGCCUUCGUGUUGUAGACCGCUAUCACGUGUGACGAAGCGUGAGUGACGGUAAUCGGUAAAGGAGCACCGGCUAGCUACGUG